UUAAUGUACACAAAUUAGGCUGUUAGAUUUCUCGUUUGAAUCGUUUUAAAUUUGUCAUUUCGGGCCUAUUAUAGCUAACUAUGCAAAAUGGGGUUUGUUCAUUGUUGAAGGCCGUACGUUGACCUAUAAUAGUUUUUAAUUUCUGUGUCAUUUGAUCUCUUGUGGAGAGUUGUCUCAGUGGCAAUCAUACCACAUCUUCUUUUUUAUAAGCAAGCAAGUAAGCAAGCAAGCAAUCAAGCAAUCAAGCAAGCAAACAAUCAAGAAAGCAAAAUAUGUUGUAAAAUAAAAAAACAGACUAAAAAAUAUACAACA
Molecule: long non-coding RNA, 312 nt
Filed under: Mytilus galloprovincialis (Mediterranean mussel)
Lineage: Eukaryota; Metazoa; Mollusca; Bivalvia; Mytilida; Mytilidae
Source: RNAcentral